GUAAAACUCGUUACAGGUGAUAUUUACGAAUUUAGAUUUCUAGGAUCAAUUUUCGAGGAACGGUGACGAAGUGCUGGUCAUGUCGGAGUAUGUUAAACAGUAUGGAUCAUAUUGAGUCGGCACAUGAAAACAAGUGAAUGAGAUAAAAGAAAUUCGAUUCGUUGGGAAGGGAACAGAGGGACAAACUUGAAAAGGAGGUUAAUCGUAUCGAAAAAAAGUGUGAAGAGAAAAUGUAACAAAUUUGUCUUACCAUGCGUCAGAAUGUUGAUGGUUUCGUUGUGAAGAUAGAACAUGCUUCCGAGGGACUCCCAGAAUGUGAGUAAGGGCCUGUAACCGGUAUGGAUGUAAGGGUUGAAUUGUAAAUGGGGAGGCAUGUCCCGCCAUCGGAGGAGUGCCUUCCUCGCCAUCAGGGCAUCCCGCCACAGCCAAGGCCCCAAACCGACUGAGGGACGGUUACCCAGAAUUCCGUUCGUAGGGAUCCGGAGGCGGGGGUCGGACUCCCUCCGGGUCACCGGGGAAACCGUUCCCGCUCCCCUUUAUUGAUUCCACUUUCUACGAGAUGGCCAGAAUGUGUCUCAACUCGCCUUCUUCCCUUUUAUUCCGGUCCAUCUGUAACUCGAAACACGACACUUUGAACCUGAAUAAAUUGAUUUUGGCGAUAUGGAGGGGAAGAGCUUGUCUUUAUUUUCUUGAUUUGAACGAAUUCGUUUCGGAGGUCCGAGACGAGACGAGGCCGUUUGGGCGGGGACGCGGAGAACAAUUAAACGGAAGGGGUUGGAAAUAAAUGUUUGCCAGAGGGGUGGAGGGGUGAGAUUUUUAUUGGGGGGAGGUAAACCUACACCGGCAACCCCCCCGUAUACCAACAACAUUCCCACCUCAAAGUAUAAGCUACCCAGCGCAUGCUUCUCAGAAACACUUGCGCAAUUGUCUACAGCUAUUUGAUCUCUGUUCUUCGAAGAUGGAUUCCUUUGGCAACAUCGGAAGUGAGAGUUUAUCCGUACUUCAUUACUGUGUUAAAAACUACUGCAUCGUUAUAAUAUAUAUUAUCCUAUGAUCAAAUUAUUCCGAAAUAAGUUGCGAAGCAUUCCACGAAACCCCGGGACAUUUUUACACGGGGCUAAGGUCUACCAUUCCGCACAGCUUUACUGUCCUUCUGGUUUAUCGCUGUGAACGCCGUGUUUACUCUAGUCUACCCACAUUCGAAACAGAAGUGAAAACACCAUUUCUUGGAUAAUAUUCAAUAAAAUUUCUUUUUAAUAA
Long non-coding RNA from Cimex lectularius (bed bug), 1260 nucleotides. RefSeq lists it as uncharacterized. NCBI's taxonomy places the organism in Eukaryota, Metazoa, Arthropoda, Insecta, Hemiptera, Cimicidae. The transcript is spliced from 4 exons. The record is from RefSeq and is a predicted model, not a curated record.